Molecule: ribosomal RNA, 197 nt
Filed under: Acinetobacter lactucae
Lineage: Bacteria; Pseudomonadati; Pseudomonadota; Gammaproteobacteria; Moraxellales; Moraxellaceae
Description: partial 23S ribosomal RNA
Rfam family: Bacterial large subunit ribosomal RNA
Source: RNAcentral
AGUGAAGUAAUUGAGGGCAUGUGGGAGAUGCCGGGGCAGUCGGCGGCGAUGAAAGACGUUAGAGUCUGCGAAAAGCUCCGGGGAGGCGGCAAAUAUCCUUUGAGCCGGAGAUUUCUGAAUGGGGGACCCCACCUACUUUAAGGUAGGUAUUGCAACAUGAAUACAUAGUGUUGCACGGCGAACGAGGGGAAGUGAAA